Molecule: ribosomal RNA, 363 nt
Filed under: uncultured eukaryote
Lineage: Eukaryota
Description: SSU rRNA
Rfam family: Eukaryotic small subunit ribosomal RNA
Source: RNAcentral
AGCUCCAAUAGUGUAUACUAGUGUUGUUGCGGUUAAAACGUUCGUAGUCGAAUAAGAGACCGGUGAGCGCAGAGAGCGCUCCACGUUACUGCCUAGGGCGCACCACGGCGCGCUCGUGCCUAAGUGUGCUCCGGGCAAGUUACCAUGACCAAAUUUUAGUGUUCAUAGCAAGCACCUUGUGCCCUGGAUACAAUAGCAUGGGAUAACGCUGAGAGGACUUCGACCUGGGUUCCGUUGGUGAUCAGGAUCGAAGGAAUGAUUAACAGGAGCAGUCGGGGGUAGUCGCAUUCCAUCGCUAGAGGUGAAAUUCUUUGACCGAUGGAGGACGAACAACAGCGAAGGCAUCUACCAAGUAUGUUUUCA